RNAcentral lists this long non-coding RNA (1529 nucleotides) under Homo sapiens (human). RNAcentral's name for it is "eosinophil granule ontogeny transcript (EGOT)". The record is from RNAcentral. Lineage: Eukaryota; Metazoa; Chordata; Mammalia; Primates; Hominidae.
CAACUUCUGGGCAAGGCAGAGGUGGGUUUGGCUUUUUAAAAAUUUUUUCAGCCUGUCCUCAUGGAACUACAUAUUCUUUUCUAAGAACUUUUCAUCCUAACCUCCCUACUCACAUCUUCUAAGUGUCUCUGCUCUGGUGGGAAUGUGAUGGACAACACAGAGCCAUCUCAGAAGCCUCUGUGGCCACCACCAGGCCGGCCAGGGUGCAGGGGGCCACUCCCUGGGCAGCCAUAGGGUUCUCAGCAAGGUGCAUUCGUCGUCCCUGCUGAGAAUCUGAUGGGGCAGCAUUUUUUUUUUUAAUUAAAUGCAAGCUGAGUCAUUUCAACCUGCAACCUUCAGGUAACAGGAGUUACCCAAGCUCCAGGAAUUAUGAUUGUGGGGUAAACCCAUUCUCUUGUUUUCUUGCGGUUCUAUUUUAUAACGCACUAGAGGAGACAGAGACGUCAUUGCUUCACCCAGGGCAAGAGGACAAAGGAGGAUGCAUGGAAAUACAAACAGCCCUUCUCCUCCAGGCCAUACCGACUGUCCAACUAGCAACAGACUUCACCUGGUUUUGGAGCAAUCUGAAUUUGGAAUAUGCCAGAGAAAACUUCUAUCAGGCAAGAUGGAAGACUCCUAGGAUAGGUCUCUCUCAUGGAGGGAUUGGCACGAUGGUAAGAGUCCAGUGGAUGGAAAAGGCCUCCUCCUUAAAGAUGGUGAUGGAAACGAGCACUGCACAGGGAAACACAAAUCAGGUCCCCUGAAAUCCAGCCCAACCUGGCCAGACCCUCCAGUGCCCAUCAGGGCUUAUGAACAGGGUGCUUCAGUGUCUUUGUUAGGGGUGGUUAAAAAGGAGCACGUGCUUAUAGGGGAUGCUGCUGAGCUCCAUGAUUUUGACUUCCUGUCUAACCUGUUGAUGCUACAAAACUCUUUUAAAAACAGUUACCAUGGGAACUUUUCCCUAGCAAGCAUUCUUCAAGAAACGUUACAGGUGCUGGUGAAUUCAAUGCCCUUGGUGUCAAUAAGCUUUUGCUGAGUCUUAGAAUGUGUGGCUUGAACUGAGAGGACUUUCAAACAGAUAAUGCGAAGUUUCCAAUGCAAAUGUCUUCGGGGUUAAGUGUCAGUGAAGUGCAGUGGAAGGUAGGGGGAUAAAAUGAUCUCAGUGUAUAUGGAGGCCCCACUUAAGCAUUCAAAAAAUUCUAUAUACAGUGUUUUCAAUGUAUUAUGUAUCAGCAAAACAAAAUACCCCAUAGGGCUAUAAUCAGCUCAGGGGGUCACCUCAGCAAGAGAUGCUCUGGCUAUCACUCCUACUACGGGAUUUCCUCUCUCAUCAGAACCAGUAGGUGGUCAAAACCACAAUAAUGCAUAAAUGAAGGCAGGGAAUUGGGUAUCCAAUGUGAGCAACUGAAAAGGUGCCAUGUAUUAGCUAUUUGCCAUUAUGGUUCUGCAAGUGCUCAGAUGACUCAUAAAAUGACCAGAACAAAAAAAAAAAAAAAAAAAAAAAAAAAAAAAAAAAAAAAAAAAAAAAAAAAAAAAAAAAAAAAAAAAAA